This 49-nucleotide transfer RNA is filed under the name Pseudoniphargus sp. 1-Balearics. RNAcentral describes it as "tRNA-Val". Lineage: Eukaryota; Metazoa; Arthropoda; Malacostraca; Amphipoda; Allocrangonyctidae. The record is from RNAcentral.
AAGAACGAGUAUUUCAGUUACGUUGAAUAAGACCUAAUAGGCGUUCUUU